RNAcentral lists this ribosomal RNA (253 nucleotides) under uncultured bacterium. RNAcentral's name for it is "partial 16S ribosomal RNA". It matches the Rfam family "Bacterial small subunit ribosomal RNA", at positions 524 to 776 of the family's 1533-position model. The record is from RNAcentral.
UACAGAGGUCCCAAGCGUUGUUCGGAUUCACUGGGCGUAAAGGGUGCGUAGGUGGUGAGGUAAGUCGGAUGUGAAAGCUCGGAGCUCAACUCCGAAAUGGCAUUGGAAACUACCUUGCUCGAGGGUUGGAGGGGGGACUGGAAUGCUUGGUGUAGCAGUGAAAUGCGUAGAUAUCAAGCGGAACACCAGUGGCGAAGGCGAGUCCCUGGACAAUUCCUGACACUGAGGCACGAAAGCUAGGGGAGCAAACAGG